UACGUAGGCAGCAAGCGUUGUUCGGAGUUACUGGGCGUAAAGGGUGCGUAGGUGGUGGGGUAAGUCGGAUGUGAAAGCUCGGAGCUCAACUCCGAAAUGGCAUUGGAAACUACCCUGCUAGAGGAUUGGAGGGGGGACUGGAAUACUUGGUGUAGCAGUGAAAUGCGUAGAUAUCAAGUGGAACACCAGUGGCGAAGGCGAGUCCCUGGACAAUUCCUGACACUGAGGCACGAAAGCUAGGGGAGCAAACAGG
Molecule: ribosomal RNA, 253 nt
Filed under: uncultured bacterium
Lineage: Bacteria
Description: partial 16S ribosomal RNA
Rfam family: Bacterial small subunit ribosomal RNA
Source: RNAcentral